GUCACUGAUAUAUCCUCAAAUCUACUUGAAUGGCUGCACCUGUGGUGGUGUGAGAAUCAAAUAAACUAGUGAAAGGUAAGUAAGAAAAGAAAAAGAAAGAAAAAAAAAUAGAAAGAAAAAAAAACUGCUAUGGAAACUAAGAAAAAAACUUGGGUGGAUGGCUUACAAGGGACUUUACCGUAGUCUUAUAGAUUUAAAGUCUCAGGUCUAGGAUGCUUUUGUAACUUAAAGAUCUUAUUUCUGUUUCCCAUUCUGAUGGCUCCUGACUCCCUUGGAGAAGUCCUAAUGGAGUGGUGGGGAACUGAGUAACUGAGAAAUGAGAAAAAAUUUAAAGCAUAGAAUGGGGAAACACGAUGGCUCAGAAGAAAAGAUGAUCCAUUUACUACCUGAAUGAUGUUGCCCACCACACACUGUCAGAUCUACCAUAGCUUUCUUCCUGAGAAUGAAACCUGAGUCUUACAUGUGGGGGAAGUGGAUGGCUGAACUUGAGAGGAGCCCAUGGUAGGGGAAGAUAAGCUGAUACUUGGUGUUCAUAGGUGCUGUGAACAAAUGUGAUCUACAAAUGGAAGCUUCUCCAUGGCUCCUCAGCCAUGUUAUGUGGCCUGAGGUUCUACAGACCCCUUCUGCAGUUCUUCAGCUGAUUUCAGCCCUCCUGUGCAGUCAUAAGAGAAGGUGUGCUGUUGGCAGGUGCUGUGAUAUGGCCAAGUAGCAACUCUUCACUGGCACCUUGGAAGAAUCAUCUCAUGCAGCUUGUGUACCUAGACUCCUUACUUGGGGCUUGGGUACAGAUUUGGGGUACCUGACGUGGGUGUGACCAGGAAGAUGCACUAUCCACAUUACACAUGAAGUAGCCUCACAAAUGCCUUUGAGGGCAAUGUUCCUUCAAGACUGCAAGCCUUGCUAUGCUAGCUGGGUACCCCAUGGGUGCUCAAAGUGCCAGAUAAUAUUUGUGGCUAGGGAGUGUGGCAUCCAUAAAGCGUCCUCAGGAUGAGUCAACAAUGCAGAGCAGAUGCAGCUACAGGCAGCUGGAGUGCAGGAACAUCUCUGGAAGACACCAUAAUCUGUAUUUAUGAUCUAGCUACUUAAAGCACUGCAUUUUGUUAAUGCAGUAGUCAACAUUAUACAUCACUGGAGUUUGCUAGCUUAUCAGGCGACUGUUUUUAAAAAUCUAAAGCAAAAAUAUAUAUGUUGGUAUUUAAUGUUACAUUGUGUUUCCUUGCUGCUAAUUGUCCUUGUGCUCUGCUCGCUAUUUUACAUAUAUUUACAUACUGUUAGAAAGCCCUAGUCUCAUUGUGAAUAAAGAACAAUACACAGGCUAUUUGGUGGCA
RNAcentral lists this long non-coding RNA (1328 nucleotides) under Anas platyrhynchos platyrhynchos (common mallard). Its description in RNAcentral is "lncRNA (ENSAPLG00000020992.1)". The record is from RNAcentral. Lineage: Eukaryota; Metazoa; Chordata; Aves; Anseriformes; Anatidae.